Molecule: non-coding RNA, 29 nt
Filed under: Rattus norvegicus (Norway rat)
Lineage: Eukaryota; Metazoa; Chordata; Mammalia; Rodentia; Muridae
Source: RNAcentral
UGGGAAGUGUGCUUGGACUAUAUUCCGGA